UCCUUCCUGAAGCUGCUUGCUCCCAAUAGAAGAGGACCCAUCUUCAGUCAAUGGUAUACAAGUAACUGUGCUCCUUUGCUAGAACCUCCAAACAAGCUCUUGCAGUCCAUUUGAUGAAUACUAUUAAAAACAUUUAGU
Molecule: small RNA, 138 nt
Filed under: Nannospalax galili (Upper Galilee mountains blind mole rat)
Lineage: Eukaryota; Metazoa; Chordata; Mammalia; Rodentia; Spalacidae
Description: 7SK RNA (ENSNGAG00000001721.1)
Rfam family: 7SK RNA
About the family: 7SK was discovered as an abundant small nuclear RNA in the mid-70s but a possible function has only recently been suggested. Two independent studies have found that 7SK RNA binds the CDK9/cyclin T complex (known as elongation factor P-TEFb).
Source: RNAcentral